RNAcentral lists this unclassified non-coding RNA (825 nucleotides) under Hevea brasiliensis (rubber tree). The record is from RNAcentral. Lineage: Eukaryota; Viridiplantae; Streptophyta; Magnoliopsida; Malpighiales; Euphorbiaceae.
AGAUGAUGAUGAUGAUGAUGAUGACAUUGAUUGGGAAGCCAAUGGAGAUUUUGAAUUUUCAGGCUUGCAAAAUGAUGAUCAUCCUUUGAGCAAAAAUGGUUGACAAGUCCUUGAAUUUUUGAAUUGACUGGAUGGCAUUUUUUGUUCCUUGCAUAUGUCGAAAACAGGUAAUCAUUAUGUUUCAUGCUGUUUCUCCAUUUUCUAGCACCAUCUUCAAUUUGAUAUUUACCUCAUCAUCUAGGUCUUUUCUUAGAUAUUGAAUAAAUGAAUUGAAUCUAGAUCUGCUGCCUUCUUUUUGCUCCCCAUUUUCUAGCAUCAGGUUGACUUAAGCAGCUUGAUGAUUCUCAUGGACUUUGUAGCUGUUUGAGCUGAUCUGGCUAAGUUGGAACUAACACAAUUUUGAAUCAAUAAAAUGGAUGGCUUAGCGAGGUUCGCCUACAUGUUGCUAUUCAUCACAAGGACUCUUCAUUAACAAAUUGAUCUUAUGCUUCACUGUGUUCUGUGAGCUCGGUGUUUGUCCGCAGCCCACUUUUUCAUUAGUAAGGAUGACAAUGGCUUCCAUUUUUAGUAAUACGAUGUCUCUGUUUAAUAUGUAGAACAUUUUGUCAUCAUAAUUUUUGUAUAGUGUUUUGAGGUAACAAAGUCGAAUUUAAAUAUUGUUAAUUUGUUAUAGUAUCGCCUUGUUACCUUGAUGAGCAAAUCUGCAGAGAACUAUUCUGUAUUUCAUUAUCCGUCAUGCGAACAAUGAUUUUUCUUUGGAUAGUCACUCGACAAAUGAAACCAAAAAUCUAAGUGCUGAUGGUAAUGUGAUUUAAGGCUUGUGAU